RNAcentral lists this ribosomal RNA (301 nucleotides) under uncultured bacterium. Its description in RNAcentral is "partial 16S ribosomal RNA". It matches the Rfam family "Bacterial small subunit ribosomal RNA", at positions 509 to 807 of the family's 1533-position model. The record is from RNAcentral.
CAGUCGCCGCGGGAAUACGAAGGGGGCUAGCGUUGCUCGGAAUGACUGGGCGUAAAGGGCGCGUAGGCGGAUUGUUUAGUUAGGCGUGAAAUUCCUGGGCUUAACCUGGGGACUGCGCUUAAUACAGGCAGUCUAGAGUGAGGAAGAGGGUUGUGGAAUUCCCAGUGUAGAGGUGAAAUUCGUAGAUAUUGGGAAGAACACCGGUGCCGAAGGCGGCAACCUGGUCCAUGACUGACGCUGAGGCGCGAAAGCGUGGGGAGCAAACAGGAUUAGAUACCCCCGUAGUCCCUGUCUCUUAUAC